UAGGGAAUAUUGCGCAAUGGACGAAAGUCUGACGCAGCGACGCCGCGUGAGUGAUGAAGGCCUUAGGGUCGUAAAGCUCUGUUGAAUGGGAAGAAAAAAUGACGGUACCAUUCGAGGAAGGACCGGCUAACUUCGUGCCAGCAGCCGCGGUAAUACGAGGGGUCCUAGCGUUGUUCGGAAUCAUUGGGCGUAAAGGGUGUGUAGGUGGCUAAGUAAGUCAGGUGUGAAAGCCCCGGGCUCAACCCGGGAAGUGCAUCCAAAACUGACAAGCUAGAGUAUGGUAGAGGGUGGUGGAAUUUCCUGUGUAGCGGUGAAAUGCGUAGAUAUAGGAAGGAACACCAGUGGCGAAGGCGACCACCUGGACUGAUACUGACACUGAGGUGCGAAAGCGUGGGGAGCAAACAGGAUUAGAUACCCUAGUAGUCCCUGAGCGGGCUGGCAAGGCGCAU
Molecule: ribosomal RNA, 449 nt
Filed under: uncultured bacterium
Lineage: Bacteria
Description: bacterial SSU rRNA
Rfam family: Bacterial small subunit ribosomal RNA
Source: RNAcentral